CCAGCAGUGCCAGCAUUGCGCGAUGACGAAUGUCAUCUGCAUGGCAUCUAGGCGUUGACGCCAGCCAAAUCGAUUUGUUGCUGUCUUUUCCGGUCGUGCCGUAGCAAAAUUCGGUUCUGCCGAUCGUGAGCAGUGGAAUAUGACUUCGUUCUUUCUUUUCGUCUCUUUUGCUCCUGCGUCGGCAGAGCUCUCUUGAUUUGCUCGCGUGGCAUUUGUUCGCUUUGCAUUUGAUACGAUUGUGCGCAAAAGGCCAAAUUAAUAAUCAACAAAAUACGGAACACAAUGGGGACAGGCACAUCCUGGGAGGACACGGAAAUCAGUCAAAGAAAAACAUAAUAAACUAACCCAUAUUAUUUCAGUGACGGUGCAGUUUCAGAUACCAGAUGAGCCCGUGGAAAAGGCCAUACGCAAGACCAUGUAUAACGUUAGGAAAACUAAAAAGUACAGGUCUCAAGGAUAUGUACUAACAUAGAUACUCUAUACACACAUACAAUUCUCGCAUAUUAUACACACAUAGAACUUACAUAUGUAUAUCCCAACCAAUACCAUUUCCCAGUACGAUCAGUAGAUUGGUAAGCAUUCCGCUGGUAAGUGUUUGGCCUUUCAUCCCCUUUCACACUGCAUUGGCUUCCUGCUUAUGUAUAUCUUAUCGGGACUGUUGUGUGGCAUACGACAUGAUACGACAUGGUUCUAUGGGGCGAUCGGACCGAUCGUAAUUAGUCGAUCUUGAUGCAGGGGGCGUCUCGCCUCCAUGGUGGGUGUAGCUGGCUUUCGUAAUUGGAAAUUACCCGCAUUUCAUAUGCCAAUCGGCUUCGGGCGAAAUAGUGUUGACAGUGCACUGAGCACUGAGUUGGUAUCGUAACCAGUUAAGCCGGGAACGGGAACGGGAACGAGAUCGGGAUCGGGAUCGGGAACGGGUUACAUUCUUCAGGUAGUAUCAGUGACAAUUAUAGAGCAAAUUAUGCUAACUAAAUAGGCGACGUGCAAAGCCAAGACUCAUAGCACACAGCAGGAGGGCUCUCAGCUCUGGGCGUGGUCCACCGGCGUUACUCCAAUCCAAUCCCAGCCAAUCCCAGCCAAUCCGAUCCAACUCAGGUCACCAUUGCAUAAGUAUGGUUGAGCAAUUUUCCUUUUUUUCUCUGCCCGUGCCUGUGCUUGCGACUGACAAUUAUAAUUAUAGAUAAUCAGUGAGCCACGAAAGGAAAUUCAA
Long non-coding RNA from Drosophila pseudoobscura, 1210 nucleotides. RefSeq lists it as uncharacterized. The transcript is spliced from 3 exons. The record is from RefSeq and is a predicted model, not a curated record. NCBI's taxonomy places the organism in Eukaryota, Metazoa, Arthropoda, Insecta, Diptera, Drosophilidae.